CAGUGGGGAAUAUUGCACAAUGGGCGCAAGCCUGAUGCAGCCAUGCCGCGUGUGUGAAGAAGGCCUUCGGGUUGUAAAGCACUUUCAGCGGGGAGGAAGGCGGUGAGGUUAAUAACCUCACCGAUUGACGUUACCCGCAGAAGAAGCACCGGCUAACUCCGUCCCAG
Molecule: ribosomal RNA, 167 nt
Filed under: uncultured bacterium
Lineage: Bacteria
Description: partial 16S rRNA
Rfam family: Bacterial small subunit ribosomal RNA
Source: RNAcentral